Myotis lucifugus (little brown bat) is the source of this 87-nucleotide non-coding RNA. The record is from Rfam. Lineage: Eukaryota; Metazoa; Chordata; Mammalia; Chiroptera; Vespertilionidae.
AGAGGCCCUCCGCGGCCAGGAUGGAAUGCUUGCCUCAUCGCCGCGGCGACGAAGCAAGCAUUCUGCCAGGCUGCUCACACUGCCUGC